RNAcentral lists this ribosomal RNA (650 nucleotides) under uncultured soil bacterium. RNAcentral describes it as "bacterial SSU rRNA". It matches the Rfam family "Bacterial small subunit ribosomal RNA", at positions 35 to 700 of the family's 1533-position model. The record is from RNAcentral.
GCUGGCGGCGCGCCUAAACAUGCUUNCNUGAACGAGAAGCCCGGGCUUGCCCGGNUUNGACAGUGGCGAACGGGUGAGUAACACGUGAGGAACCUGCCCCGAAGACCGGGACAACACCGGGAAACCGGUGCUAAUACCGGAUACCUUCACCGGAUCGCAUGGUCUGGUGAAGAAAUGGAUUCCGCUUCGGGAUGGCCUCGCGUCCUAUCAGCUAGUUGGUGAGGUAACGGCUCACCAAGGCGACGACGGGUAGCUGGUCUGAGAGGAUGUCCAGCCACACUGGGACUGAGACACGGCCCAGACUCCUACGGGAGGCAGCAGUUAGGAAUCUUGCGCAAUGGACGAAAGUCUGACGCAGCGACGCCGCGUGCGGGAUGAAGGCCCUCGGGUUGUAAACCGCUUUCAGCAGGGACGAAAUUGACGGUACCUGCAGAAGAAGCCCCGGCCAACUACGUGCCAGCAGCCGCGGUAAUACGUAGGGGGCAAGCGUUGUCCGGAUUUAUUGGGCGUAAAGAGCUCGUAGGUGGUUCGGUAAGUCGGAUGUGAAAUCUCCAGGCUCAACCUGGAGGGGUCAUUCGAUACUGCCGUGACUAGAGGUCGGUAGGGGAGUGUGGAAUUCCUGGUGGAGCGGUGAAAUGCGCAGAUAUCAG